Molecule: ribosomal RNA, 468 nt
Filed under: uncultured bacterium
Lineage: Bacteria
Description: partial 16S ribosomal RNA
Rfam family: Bacterial small subunit ribosomal RNA
Source: RNAcentral
GACGAACGCUGGCGGCGUGCUUAACACAUGCAAGUCGAACGGAAAGGCCCUGCUUUUGUGGGGUUCUCGAGUGGCGAACGGGUGAGUAACACGUGAGUAACCUGCUCUUGACUUUGGGAUAACUUCAGGAAACUGGGGCUAAUACCGGAUAGGAGCUCCUGCUGCAUGGUGGGGGUUGGAAAGUUUCGGCGGUUGGGGAUGGACUCGCGGCUUAUCAGCUUGUUGGUGGGGUAGUGGCUUACCAAGGCUUUGACGGAUAGCCGGCCUGAGAGGGUGAACGGCGACAUUGCGACUGAGAUACGGACCAGAGUCGUACGUGAGGCAGCAGUGGGGAGUAUUGCACAGUGGGCGGGAGCCUGAUGCAGAAGCGCCGCGUGCGGGAUGACGGCCUUCGGGUUGUGAACCGCUUUAGCCUGUGACGAAGCGGGAGUGACGGUAAUGGGUAAAGAAGCACCGGCUAACUACGUG